Lutra lutra (Eurasian river otter) is the source of this 2020-nucleotide long non-coding RNA. RefSeq lists it as uncharacterized. Lineage: Eukaryota; Metazoa; Chordata; Mammalia; Carnivora; Mustelidae. The transcript has 3 exons. The record is from RefSeq and is a predicted model, not a curated record.
ACCUUGCCAAGUGUACACUCGAGAGAAUGCCACCCACCAUUCUGCUCGCAGCAAGAGCUGCAUUCCCAGCCUGCAGGUGGAACGCUCUCUGCGAGUCGUCUAAGGCUCGGUUCAGCGACUAGCUCAGUGUGAUCUUCCUUCAAGCAAAAAUAAAGAGGGAAUGAGUUGCAGGGGACACGAAAGCUCGGUCUCUUCUCCACGUGGCCCGUUACUGCUCAGAUCUCCCUCUGUGCCUCAUCAUCUCACCGCGAACCCUGCGUGACCUGAUCAUGAACUUGAGGCUGCCGGACCCAGAGUUGGCCUUAUCUGGAGAACGAGGAAGUAUGCCAUCCCUUGUCCAGAGGCAGCCUUCCCCUCUUUAUGCUUCAUUCUUCUGCCAGAGUCUAACCUGACCAUACUGGGGAGAAUGUCUAGAUUUACGCAAUGGCUUUGGGAGUCCCUGGAGGGAGCAGUUUCGCAAACCGGUGAUGGGUCCUCCCCCGCCCACCCCCACACCCCCUCCAGACGCUGGGCCCGGAGUCAGGGUUCUCCGGCCCUGCAGGAUCCUUCAGGAAACGGAGGAAGCAUGGACACAGCCCAGGCAUUUGGUUAAGUAUUUUUAAAAAGCUUUCCAAUUCUGCUAUUUUUUUCUCCUCACAUCCAAUAUUCUUGGUUGCUAAGUGGGAGGAAAUGUGGGGAGGUGGGAGAGGUGUGGAGAACGGAGGGAAAAUUGGCAACAUGAAGGCUGAUGGGUUUAUUUUCUCAUUUUGAACGGGGGUACGGGCAAAGGAAUGCUCCAGGACGGAAGCAACCAGCCUGGGGAGGAUCUCCUGUUAGCGGCGCUUGUGGCCAAGACUUCCCUAGAUCCUGCUGCUUCGGAGAGGCUGGGAGUGGGGGGCUUUUUGGGAACAUAACAUGGGCAUUUUCUAUUUCUGCUUACAGACUUAGAAAAGUGGAAUUCUUUAAAAAUUAAAAUGAUCUUUAUUUUCAGAACAUAUCCGCAAAAGGGAAGAGGCCAGUUUCAGGAUUAUCUUUUCACCGAGAGGAAGAUGGAGCAUGGGGCCAUCACAUGCCACGGGCUGAGCUACGAAGAGGAUUCUUGGCUAAUUCUCGAGACUCCAGCUUUGCAAGGAGCAUGGGGCUGCCUGCUGGGCCUGGGGCUGGACAGCAUGAGCUCCCUCCCUUCCCACUGCACUGCUCACGAGGCCCGGCUGCGGUCACAACUCUGCUGAAUGUUAGUUCACAAGGACCCGUCCCCUAACACGGAGGGCACUGAUUUUGAGUAUUUUCACUUUGAGUAUUUCAUUUUGAGUAUUUUCACCCCUCCUACACUCAGCUGCUUCCCUAACGCCCAUCCCACCUUUCUUCUCCCUGGGCCUGCGGCCUGCAUAGCAAGGCCACUAGCCUGUUGUCUUCCCCCCCGGGGGGCGGGCUGUAAGGGGCAAGUGACAUCCUUCGUUAGUUAGUACACAUUUACAACUUGUGUUGAAUAUUUUUAGCCUCCCAACGUUUAAGAGCCUCCUGUGGGCUGUCCAUACAUCUUGCUAUGAGCUUAAAAAAUGUACCAAGUGUAUGAACUGUUGUCUGAAUGCACUUGAAUUAUUAGGUCCCUUUUCGUUAAAUGACUUCCUUCCAAGGGCAGGACACACUUAGUCAUUUAAAUAGAUGCCAGAAAAACUGCCCAGGACUUGCAAUGGGCACAACAGGUUAGUGGGUGUCUUUCAGUGGUGACUUGGGAGUUGACUAGGGGGCCUUUCCCUGAUUAAUCGGCUUCAGUCGGUGGGGGGGUGCCCUUGACUGACUCCAACUGAUUAAGGUCAUUUUACUGUUCUGCAGGCAAAUGAGACAAAAUUGAUUUCCACCCUGUAAAAAGACAACCCCAAACCAUAUAUUUCAUUAUCCUAUAAGAAUACUGUUUUUGCAUUUCUUUGCAAAUUCAUUUCAGUAACUCUUUCUUUUUUCUUUUUUAAUAUAUUUUAUUUAUUUAUUUGACGGACAGAGAUCACAAGUAGGCAGAGAGGCAGGCAGAAAGAGAGGGGGA